AAGUCGUAACAAGGUUUCCGUAGGUGAACCUGCGGAAGGAUCAUUAUCGAAUCUAAAUCUGAAGAGGUAGAGAGACUGUAGCUGGCUGGAUCUAGUCUUUCUAGUCUGGCAUGUGCACGUCCCCUCACCUUUUCUAUCUACACACACCUGUGCACCUAUUGUAGAUCCCCUCUUGAAAGAGAAGGGAACUAUGUUUUUAUCACAUCACACACAUUGUAUGUCCAGAAUGUAAAUUUGUCAAUCAUUGAUUUGAUUGAUGAUAAAACAUAUAUAAUACAACUUUCAGCAACGGAUCUCUUGGCUCUC
RNAcentral lists this unclassified non-coding RNA (306 nucleotides) under Xerocomus sp. RNAcentral describes it as "partial internal transcribed spacer region". The stretch from base 1 to 46 matches the Rfam family "Eukaryotic small subunit ribosomal RNA", at positions 1786 to 1831 of the family's 1831-position model. Lineage: Eukaryota; Fungi; Basidiomycota; Agaricomycetes; Boletales; Boletaceae. The record is from RNAcentral.